AGGACUAUACUUUCAGGGAUCAUUUCUAUAGGAUUUGGAGGGCGAAAUGCUGCUUGAAAGUGUCCAAACUUGCUCACCAUGAUGAUGUGAUUGAGCGUUUUCUUCCUGUCCCGAUACGUGCUGGCAGCUCUGCCGUGGCAGUUGUUGCCUGUUACUGAUGAGUUUCCUGUUCUUUUCAGAAGGAGAACAGGAGGAAGAGAACCCAAUCUGAGUGGU
Xenopus tropicalis (tropical clawed frog) is the source of this 216-nucleotide small nucleolar RNA. Its record names the gene U3. It matches the Rfam family "Small nucleolar RNA U3". Rfam says of the family: Small nucleolar RNAs (snoRNAs) are involved in the processing and modification of rRNA in the nucleolus. There are two main classes of snoRNAs: the box C/D class, and the box H/ACA class. U3 snoRNA is a member of the box C/D class. The record is from Ensembl. NCBI's taxonomy places the organism in Eukaryota, Metazoa, Chordata, Amphibia, Anura, Pipidae.